UAGGGAAUCUUCGGCAAUGGACGAAAGUCUGACCGAGAACCGCCGCGGGGGUGAAAAAGGUUUUCGGAUCGUAAAACUCUGUUGUUAGAGAAGAACAAGGACGUAAGUAACGGAACGUCCCCUGACGGAAUCUAACAAGAAAGCCACGCCUAACUCCGUGCCAGCAGCCGCGGUAAUACGUAGGUGGCAAGCGUUGUCCGGAUUUAUUGGGCGUAAAGCGAGCGCAGGCGGUUUCUUAAGUCUGAUGUGAAAGCCCCCGGCUCAACCGGGGAGGGUCAUUGGAAACUGGGAGACUUGAGUGCAGAAGAGGAGAGUGGAAUUCCAUGUGUAGCGGUGAAAUGCGUAGAUAUAUGGAGGAACACCAGUGGCGAAGGCGGCUCUCUGGUCUGUAACUGACGCUGAGGCUCGAAAGCGUGGGGAGCAAACAGG
RNAcentral lists this ribosomal RNA (429 nucleotides) under Gemmatimonadota bacterium. Its description in RNAcentral is "Gemmatimonadetes bacterium partial 16S ribosomal RNA". It matches the Rfam family "Bacterial small subunit ribosomal RNA", at positions 355 to 776 of the family's 1533-position model. The record is from RNAcentral. Lineage: Bacteria; Pseudomonadati; Gemmatimonadota.